UUUUAUAGGAUAAUCUGUAAGGAUCAUGACAUUUUAACAUGAUGCAUGUGGCCUCCACACGAGACACGACCCGCCUCACCGCAUUGGAUGAUUGGUCGGACUUUACGUUCAGUUUUUUGUUUUGUUUUUAUGUUAUUAACAAACUUAAUAAUGCAGUAAACUAAACUAGGCUAAGCUAAGAAACCCUUCAGGAUUUCAAGGCACAGUCGUUGCAUCGAAAACAACGCUUUUUAUUUUUGAAGGUAAUUUUUUCAGAUCCCAUUUUUUCUUUUACAUUUUGAUCUUAAUUGCAGGUGGUGGUUUGACAUUGAAGAUCUAGGAGUGCGUAGGCUCUUCUUCUACCGACGGUGGUGGUGUGGUUCUCGUCCUUCGGUGUAGUUGCAACUCCGGUUAAAUGGAACAGAAGUCUCGUCAUAAAAACCCCUGGUUUGAGGAUGCCGGUGGGUUAACGUCUGAAUCUUCUCGGCUCAUCCGUUAAUCGGAUUGUUGUGGCUACAGCGGAAGCCGAAGGGCGAGUGGUGGGGAGCACUAUUUUUCAAGAUCGUGUUUCCAUCAGACCGGUUUGAAGAUGUCUCUGCGCGGGGGUGAUCGAAGUGGUCGGCUGUUGAAGAGAGGGGAUAGAUCUGAGCUUGGCAGUUUGCUAGGUCGGGAACUGUCAACGUCGAUGUCGGUUGUCGUAAGUUGCGCACACCAGGAGGAUUGUAGCGGGUCAGGUGGCUCGACGGCAAAAGAGUACUGGCAGAAAUUGGAUUCUUCUGCCGGAGAUCCGGAUCCGUUCGUUGCUGCCGCGAAGCCAUGGCCCUUGAAUCCAUCGGAAUUGGUGCGGUGACUCUCUGCCUCCGAUGAUCAACAUGGUCCGAGCCUCUCAGCCGGCGACGAGUUUUUCAUUUUUUUUGGUAAACCCUAAUUUUGUUACUGGAUCGGAAGUGUAAAGGCCGCGGCCCAGCCCAUUUGGAAUGAUUUUCGAAUUUUAAUAUUAAAAAAAAAAACACUUCAGAUUGUAAGUA
Molecule: long non-coding RNA, 1007 nt
Organism: Camelina sativa (false flax)
Lineage: Eukaryota; Viridiplantae; Streptophyta; Magnoliopsida; Brassicales; Brassicaceae
Source: RefSeq, a predicted model, not a curated record